GGCAGGGAGGCGGAGCUUGCAGUAAGCUGAGAUGGUGCCACUGCACUCCAGCCUGGGCAACAAAGCGAGACUCUGUCUCAAAAAAAAAAUUGUGAAGGCUUCUCUGAUUUUUUUUUCCAACAGUUGUUCUGAAUCUUUAGCAUGUCCAGUAAUUUUUUAAUAACUUUUUAUUAUUGUAGUAAAAACAUAAAAUUAAUGAUCUUAACCAUAUUUAAGUGUACAAUAGUGUCAAUAUUCAAACAUAUUAUUCAAAAAAUAAUCAAAAUAUAAAAGCAUUUUAGUGCGAUAGUAUUUAUUGGAGUAUGUAUAGCAGCUACUCCAGCCACAGUUUUCUUUCUCUGUAACACUCAAUGAUUCCUGAAGUAGAAAGAUUCCCAGUACAUAUGUUUAAAUGAAUGCUAUUUUUAAAGAUACCUAAUCCAGAUGGUAUGGCUAGGGCCUAUUUUAUAGCCUGUUUAAAAAAAUAAAAUAAAAUAAAAUUGGGUGGUUUGUAUGUGGUAGAAGUGAAUUCCAGCAAAAGGAGAAUUCAUUCAUUUAGACCUUUUUUUUUGUUUGAGACGGAGUCUCACUCUCACCAGCUGGAGUGCAGUGGCGCAAUCUCAGCUCACUGCAAGCUCCACCUCCCGGGUUCACGCCAUUCUCCUGCCUCAGCCUCCCAAGUAGCUGGGACUACAGGCGCCCACCACCACGCCCGGCUAAUAUUUUGUAUUUUUAGUAGAGAAGGUGUCUCACUGUGUUAGCCAGGAUGGUCUCAACCUCUUGACCUCCUGAUCCACCCACCUCAGACUCCCAAAGUGCUGGAAUUACAGGCAUGAGCCACCACACCCAGCCCAUUUAGAACUUUUUACUGAGCACCUGCCAUGUGCUCGACACGUGAUAGUUGUAGAGGAUACAGAGACAAAUAGACUUAGUCCCUAAGACUGUGUGAAUGAGCAUGUGUGUAUUACAAAGUAUUGGCAAGAUCUCAGAAACGUGCUUAGAAAAGUGCAGAUGCACUGUUAUUCUUGGCCAAUGCAGCUGAGCCAGGUGUAGGUGGAUGACUACCCCAGGAUGUUGAGCUGAGAAACAGGAUCUCAGCCUGAACCCAAUGUAGCUCAGCAGAUGUUUGAAUUAUGUGAUCUCCAGCUUUUGGGAAAGAUCUGAAUGUAAGAGGAACUUAAGAGAAUUAGCAUGAUAUUUUAAAGAGAAUAACUGCAUUACAUUCUAACAGCAGACCUGAGUCGGAAAACAAGUAAAGAAUCGAUGUAUUGGUUUGCCGAUGGAAGAGCUUCAGUGAGAUCUCAGACCCUGACCCUGCAGUGAGCCUUGGCAAUGAUUGACAGGGAAGUUUGUAGAUAACGCAGAAGUAGAUUAGUGUGCCACUGCUCCAGGCUGAAAAUCAGAAAUGAAAGCUAAAAUACAUUUGUACAUAAGCUAUACCUUCAAUUGAUAGAGCAAGCUGUGUGACUCAAAACAGCCUGUACAGAAGUACGAUGGACCAGCUGGAAGGUAUCAAUAGAAGAUAAGGAAAAGUUAACUCUUGACACCAGGGAAGUCAACAAAUUUCAGGACAACAGUGACCAAUGGUUAAGAUGGUGACUAAGUGUAAUCAGAAAAAAAUCUUUAACUCCAAGUUUAGACUAGCCAGUUUGUUUAAUUGGAUUUCUCUGGUCAAAACCUAAACUAUUGGUGCUUUCUAACCUGUGGGGAUCAGUGUGCAUAGACCAUUUUGCCCUCGAUUUCAGCAUAACAUAGUAAAAAGACUGGGUUUUAGAUUCAAAAGUCAUGGGUUUGUGAUACAGUGUACUUACUGAUUAUGUGACGUCAGUUACUUCUCUGAACCUCUUUCCUUCUCUAUAAAAUCAUAAUGCUUCACUGGAUUAAUGAAAUAAGAUAUUUGUGAAAAGAACUCUGUAAAUUAUAAAAAGUUAAAAACUUUUACAUAUAGCACAUUAUGUGACUAGUAAGUACUGCUGUGUCUUACUAGCGCAAUUUUCUGUGGCAGCAUUGACACGUAUCUCCUAAAAAUAUAAAGUUCCCCACGUUUACAAGCAGCAUGAUAGGUUCAGGAAGAGGAGGUAGAUGAGAGGUAACAUCUUAUUAUUUAUGUAAUUAUGGGCUCCAUAAGUUUAUUUUUUAAGCACCAUAUAUGUGUGUGUUUCAAAAUAAACAUAAGGCAUCAUAUAUUUAAACAUAUAUAACCAUAAUGCUUGUAUUUAUAAAUCAUUUUCCAAGAAAGAAUAAAUCAAAAUUUGAAAUUC
This 2240-nucleotide long non-coding RNA is filed under the name Homo sapiens (human). Its description in RNAcentral is "non-protein coding lnc-MRPS33-2:2". The record is from RNAcentral. Lineage: Eukaryota; Metazoa; Chordata; Mammalia; Primates; Hominidae.